UAAAUCUAUGAUAAUCUUACCUGGCUUUA
RNAcentral lists this non-coding RNA (29 nucleotides) under Rattus norvegicus (Norway rat). Lineage: Eukaryota; Metazoa; Chordata; Mammalia; Rodentia; Muridae. The record is from RNAcentral.